AACGAACGCUGGCGGCGUGCCUAACACAUGCAAGUCGAGCGCGAAUGGAGCAAUCCUAGUAGAGCGGCGCACGGGUGCGUAACACGUGGGUAAUCUGCCUCAAAGCCCGGGAUAACCUGCCGAAAGGCAAGCUAAUACCGGAUAAGCCUACGGACUCUUCGGGGUCUGAAGGAAAAGGUGGCCUCUGUAUACAAGCUAUCACUUUGAGAUGAGCCCG
This 217-nucleotide ribosomal RNA is filed under the name uncultured bacterium. Its description in RNAcentral is "partial 16S ribosomal RNA". It matches the Rfam family "Bacterial small subunit ribosomal RNA", at positions 29 to 233 of the family's 1533-position model. The record is from RNAcentral.